UACAGAGGGGGCGAGCGUUGGUCGGAAUUACUGGGCGUAAAGGGCGCGUAGGCGGCCCGCUAAGUCGAACGUGAAAUCCCCAGGCUCAACCUGGGAACUGCGUCCGAUACUGGCAGGCUUGAAUCCGGGAGAGGGAUGUGGAAUUCCAGGUGUAGCGGUGAAAUGCGUAGAUAUCUGGAGGAACACCGGUGGCGAAGGCGGCAUCCUGGACCGGUAUUGACGCUGAGGCGCGAAAGCUAGGGGAGCAAACAGG
Molecule: ribosomal RNA, 253 nt
Filed under: uncultured bacterium
Lineage: Bacteria
Description: partial 16S ribosomal RNA
Rfam family: Bacterial small subunit ribosomal RNA
Source: RNAcentral